This 406-nucleotide ribosomal RNA is filed under the name uncultured bacterium. Its description in RNAcentral is "partial 16S ribosomal RNA". It matches the Rfam family "Bacterial small subunit ribosomal RNA", at positions 30 to 526 of the family's 1533-position model. The record is from RNAcentral.
AUUGAACGCUGGCGGCAGGCCUAACACAUGCAAGUCGAGCGAGUGGCGGACGGGUGAGUAAUGUCUGGGAAACUGCCUGAUGGAGGGGGAUAACUACUGGAAACGGUAGCUAAUACCGCAUACCAUCAGAUGUGCCCAGAUGGGAUUAGCGAGUAGGUGAGGUAACGGCUCACCUAGGCGACGAUCCCUAGCUGGUCUGAGAGGAGGACCAGCCAAACGGGAACUGAGACACGGUCCAGACUCCUACGUGAGGCAGCAGUGGGGAAUAUUGCACAAUGGGCGCAAGCGUGAUGCAGCCAUGCCGCGUGUGUGAAGAAGGCCUUCGGGUUGUAAAGCACUUUCAGCGGGGAGGCGUUACCCGCAGAAGAAGCACCGGCUAACUCCGUGCCAGCAGCCGCGGUAAUUC